RNAcentral lists this ribosomal RNA (192 nucleotides) under uncultured bacterium. Its description in RNAcentral is "partial 16S ribosomal RNA". It matches the Rfam family "Bacterial small subunit ribosomal RNA", at positions 1307 to 1500 of the family's 1533-position model. The record is from RNAcentral.
GCAACUCGCCUGCAUGAAGUCGGAAUUGCUAGUAAUCGCGGAUCAGCAUGCCGCGGUGAAUACGUUCUCGGGCCUUGUACACACCGCCCGUCACACCAUGGGAGUCGGUAACACCCGAAGUCUGUAGCCUGACGCAAGAGGGCGCAGCCGAAGGUGGGAUUGAUGACUAGGGUGAAGUCGUAACAAGGUAGC